RNAcentral lists this transfer RNA (67 nucleotides) under Omosita colon. RNAcentral's name for it is "tRNA-Leu". It matches the Rfam family "tRNA". From Rfam's summary of the family: Transfer RNA (tRNA) molecules are approximately 80 nucleotides in length. Their secondary structure includes four short double-helical elements and three loops (D, anti-codon, and T loops). Further hydrogen bonds mediate the characteristic L-shaped molecular structure. tRNAs have two regions of fundamental functional importance: the anti-codon, which is responsible for specific mRNA codon recognition, and the 3' end, to which the tRNAs corresponding amino acid is attached (by aminoacyl-tRNA synthetases). tRNAs cope with the degeneracy of the genetic code in two manners: having more than one tRNA (with a specific anti-codon) for a particular amino acid; and 'wobble' base-pairing, i.e. permitting non-standard base-pairing at the 3rd anti-codon position. The record is from RNAcentral. Lineage: Eukaryota; Metazoa; Arthropoda; Insecta; Coleoptera; Nitidulidae.
GUUAUUUUGGCAGAAUAGUGCAAUAGAUUUAGAAUCUUUAAAUAUAAUUUAUAUAUUAUAAAUAAUA